GCAGCAUGGAUUAGUUUGUAGCUCCCUGUCCAUGCUAGUUCUUGGCAUCUCUCUUACUUUUCUUUCCUCCAUCUGAAUCUAUUACAGGGAGUCUUUGCAAAGAACUUGGGAGAAAAGGAGAAACCCCUGCAGCUCCCAAGGUGUCUAUGGCUAUGAAGGGACCAUUUUCCAAGGUGUGGGGAGCUUCUGGUGGCCUCCACAAGGGCAGGAGCAGCAGACAUCUGCUGCACACGUUUUAUGUAGCUCUUGUUUGCAGCAGCCAUGUGGGCAGCGCGGUGCAUCUCACACAUUUUCUCAAUCUGUAUCCCAACCAGUGCCUGGAAAACAUCAGCAUCUGGGCAAAGAGCAAUCAUCCAGAGCCUGUCAGGACAAAGGAAAUCUGUGGAGGAAUUUCUGCCUUGGAAAGCUUAUCUUCUCCAGAACCGUAUCUGACUUCAAAUUAUCAUCAGGUAUCUAAAAAUCUGGACCUUGUUUAAUCAAAUUCUAAUUUCACUGGAGCAAUCAUCAUCUCCAGGGUGGUUUGUUGCAUGAUUUCAUAGUCAGAAACAAGGCUGAGGAUUGUUCUGAUCAAUUUCUAGACAUCCUUAACUUAGGCAUCAGCUCACUUAGCCCAUCCAAGACCAAUCUUACUGCUCACAUUUCAUUCAAGAAAGCACUUGCCAUAUUAUCCCCACACUCUGUCAGUGGGGCAGAAGUGUCAAGCUUUGAACAAAGAAGUGAAAUAGAUUCUGAAUAUUCCUGGACAAGAAAUGUGAAAUCUUCCUAUUGUUCUUUUAUGCUAAAGAGGAACACUUAGGAAUUUUCUGUAAUACUAUAGGGCAUAAAAUUUAGCUGCUCUAGUCAAGCCCAUGUCGAGUAUGAGUGGCUGCUUAUCUUUUUGUCAUUUACUUAAUGGAUUCAACAUAGAAACAAAGUUGUGCAGAUUUAGCUAUUCUCAAAACAAUGAGGUUUGUUUUAUUUUCAUCCUCUCCUCCUCCCCCUCCCCUCCCUCCCCCCUGAAUCUAGCUUCUAUUAAUGAAUCUUGUACUGGGAAAUUUAUUCAGAUAUGGGAUUUCUUCAAGCUUCUUUCAGUUUCCAUUGUAUGACUUUUCUGCCUGUCAUCAAACCAGCAAACUCAUUCCACAGAUCUUAACAUUAUUUGUAUUUUGUCUAAAGAAGGGAUAAAUCAAUUCGUUUCUGGCAUAAUAUGAACAUUUUAUUAGUAUAAGUCACAAAGCCGAAUGAUCCAGAAUCCAAAUUAAUUGUUGGGAUUAAUAUAAAGUACCCACAGUCAUCUGUCAGGUAAGUGUCUCCAUCUGUCUGUGUUUAUGGCUGGAUUUGAAAGGUGAAGUUUGCAGAAUCAGUAGCUCAGUCUCUCACAUUCAUAUCAUCAGCUAACAGCACUCAGCUUUCUUGCCACUAGACAAGAGUCCUUCCAAGAGUGAGGUAACCACAGCUGAUGCUCAAGACACAGUAUUCUCAGACAGAGUCCAAGGUCUCUAACACAUAAGAGGCCAUAAAUAAAUAAAACCUACCACUGAUUGGCAGAAAAAAAAUUCAAGCUCCGUAUAUGCUUCAGAGUUCCCAGAUUCAUGAGAGGGUCCAGUAUCACACUCCUAAUCCAAGCCCCACAGUGUUUUCACCUUCACAAGCUUCUUAUUGUUGAUGCAAAUUCCUGUGUCUCUUAACUUUGUGAGUGAGCUUCUACGUACUCCACAUUUUAAGAACAUCUUUGAGACUCGAAGCUUAAUUCCAGCAUUUGUCCACCCUCUUUAUGGAAGUGACCUCAGAAAUACCUGGCUGUGGGCUUGCUCAGUUGUUAAAGCCAAGG
Vidua macroura (Pin-tailed whydah) is the source of this 1810-nucleotide long non-coding RNA. RefSeq lists it as uncharacterized. The transcript is spliced from 4 exons. The record is from RefSeq and is a predicted model, not a curated record. NCBI's taxonomy places the organism in Eukaryota, Metazoa, Chordata, Aves, Passeriformes, Viduidae.